This 306-nucleotide ribosomal RNA is filed under the name uncultured bacterium. RNAcentral describes it as "partial 16S ribosomal RNA". It matches the Rfam family "Bacterial small subunit ribosomal RNA", at positions 505 to 807 of the family's 1533-position model. The record is from RNAcentral.
GACAGCAGCAGCCGCGGGAAUACAGAGGGUGCGAGCGUUAAUCGGAUUUACUGGGCGUAAAGCGUGCGUAGGCGGCUUUUUAAGUCGGAUGUGAAAUCCCUGAGCUUAACUUAGGAAUUGCAUUCGAUACUGGGAAGCUAGAGUAUGGGAGAGGAUGGUAGAAUUCCAGGUGUAGCGGUGAAAUGCGUAGAGAUCUGGAGGAAUACCGAUGGCGAAGGCAGCCAUCUGGCCUAAUACUGACGCUGAGGUACGAAAGCAUGGGGAGCAAACAGGAUUAGAUACCCCUGUAGUCCCUGUCUCUUAUAC